This is a long non-coding RNA of Drosophila simulans, 768 nucleotides long. RefSeq lists it as uncharacterized. The record is from RefSeq and is a predicted model, not a curated record. The transcript has 3 exons. Lineage: Eukaryota; Metazoa; Arthropoda; Insecta; Diptera; Drosophilidae.
CUUUUGACAGGACUAAACAGAAAAAAAGAAGCACAAAAAGAAGUAGUUCACAUAUGUAUGAGCCGAGAGCAGAGGCCAAACAGGCAAACAAACGAUGCCGCCACAACAACAGAAAUAACAACAACAAUGGGAGCAACAAAAACGAAAGCAACAGAAGCCACAAUUUUCAACAGGAAGAGCAACAAAAUAUUGUGUGUGCAAAGCCCGAAAACCACUUUGGGCCCAACUUAUUUGUGGCUAACAAAUUUGCAUGCAUUGACGCAUCAUCAUCGCAGUUGCCAAUUCAUCUGGAUAUACGUCUAUAUAAGGACAACACUGGAGACUUUGACUGCGAUUGCAAAUCUUGGGCAAAUCAAUAGAAGUUGUAAAGAGCUGGGAAAAGCGUCCUCAAUGUGUCAGCACAAAUGUCAAUUUGUUGGCCAGGAUUUCCAGGAUAUCGAUGGUACAAGUGACAAAACACAAAACACAAAACGUGCAUAGUUUUUGAGACUGAUUGAGGGCGGGAUUGUAUGAGUCAAAAAGGACAUUUGAAAAAAGUGCGAUAAAAGUGCGUUUUUGUGUUAGUGAACUAGACUAUCAGCUAGUGGAACUGUUACUCAUUGGGACAGAGAUAAUAUUCAAGAAUAUAUAUUCUUUAUAGAGUCAGAAACUUCUAUGUUUAAUAUGUUUUAUAGUCAGAAUUAUCUUGCCUUUAAAAAUAAAUGUAGCUCUAUGUAAAUAUGCCAGUUAAGGGAUACAAGUUAAAUCCAAUAUAUAUAAAGUGCCCCU